GCUAUAUACAGGGGGUACCGGUACAGAGUCAAUGUGGAGGCUAUAUACAGGGGGUACCGGUACAGAGUCAAUGUGGAGGCUAUACACAGGGGGUACCGGUACAGAGUCAAUGUGGAGGCUAUAUACAGGGGUUACCGGUACAGAGUCAAUGUGGAGGCUAUAUACAGGGGGUACCGGUACAGAGUCAAUGUGGAGGCUAUAUACAGGGUAUUACGGUACAGAGUCAAUGUGGAGGCUAUAUACAGGGGGUACCGGUACAGAGUCAAUGUGGAGGCUAUAUACAGGGGGUACCGGUACAGAGUCAAUGUGGAGGCUAUAUACAGGGGGUACCGGUACAGAGUCAAUGUGGAGGCUAUAUACAGGGGGUACCGGUACAGAGUCAAUGUGGAGGCUAUAUACAGGGGGUACCGGUACAGAGGCAAUGUGGAGGCUAUAUACAGGGGGUACCGGUACAGAGUCAAUGUGGAGGCUAUAUACAGGGGGUACCGGUACAGAGUCAAUUUGGAGGCUAUAUACAGGGGGUACCGGUACAGAGUCAAUGUGGAGGCUUUAUACAGGGGGUACCGGUACAGAGUCAAUGUGGAGGCUAUAUACAGGGGGUACCGGUACAGAGUCAAUGUGGAGGCUAUAUACAGGGGGUACCGGUACAGAGUCAAUGUGGAG
Molecule: long non-coding RNA, 663 nt
Filed under: Salmo salar (Atlantic salmon)
Lineage: Eukaryota; Metazoa; Chordata; Actinopteri; Salmoniformes; Salmonidae
Description: lncRNA (ENSSSAG00000117334.1)
Source: RNAcentral